Coturnix japonica (Japanese quail) is the source of this 604-nucleotide non-coding RNA. Lineage: Eukaryota; Metazoa; Chordata; Aves; Galliformes; Phasianidae. The record is from RefSeq and is a predicted model, not a curated record.
UGGCCUGGUUCAGUGCUGGGCAGGUGGCUUGUCAGUGAGGGCAUCCCAUGAAUACAUGAGGUGGAAGAAUAGACUCUUUCCUUACUUCCUUUCUUGGGCUGUGACCACCUGUGAGGGCCCCUAAGCCCGAAUAGAAACCCCCAAAAAUUAAGGGACGUAGCACAGAUGGCAAGGGAAUACCCCUAAGUCACUGACAGCUCCUGAGAGGAGCAGUUUAUUUGGAGGCAAAGCUACCUUACUAGCUGUUUCUCGUAAAUGAGAUAUAGUUGUUCUUCAAAACAAUGAAAAAGCUGCUUCCUCUUGGUCUCUCCUAUGAUGCUUCUGUGUCAGACAAGAUGGUAACCUAUAUAAAUCAAAAUUUAUAUAGAUUCCAAACUUCAAAGCAGGUGAUGUUUUGUCUUACCAUGCCAAGAAUGGAACACUUUGGAACCGGAACAUGUCUCCCUGCACAGGAGGAUGCCAAUGAACUCUCUCCUUCAUAACAGUAUCCAGUGUUGAAGUCUUUCUUGUUUGAGCCAGGACAAGAAAAUGCCAACAGUUCCUACAGACCAACUCUUUUUUUAUUUUCUGUGUUCAACAACAAGACAAUAAAUAAUAAACAUCA